CAGUAGCCACGGUAAUACGGAGGGUGCAAGCGUUAUCCGGAUUUAUUGGGUUUAAAGGGUCCGUAGGCGGAUCUGUAAGUCAGUGGUGAAAUCUCACAGCUUAACUGUGAAACUGCCAUUGAUACUGCAGGUCUUGAGUAAAUUUGAAGUGGCUGGAAUAAGUAGUGUAGCGGUGAAAUGCAUAGAUAUUACUUAGAACACCAAUUGCGAAGGCAGGUAACUAAGAUUUAACUGACGCUGAUGGACGAAAGCGUGGGGAGCGAACAGGAUUAGAGACCCCCGUAGUCCCUGUCUCUUAUAC
RNAcentral lists this ribosomal RNA (301 nucleotides) under uncultured bacterium. RNAcentral describes it as "partial 16S ribosomal RNA". It matches the Rfam family "Bacterial small subunit ribosomal RNA", at positions 509 to 807 of the family's 1533-position model. The record is from RNAcentral.